AGCAGUAGCCGCGGUAAUACGAGGGGGGCAAGCGUUGUUCGGAAUUAUUGGGCGUAAAGGGUGCGUAGGCGGUUUGGCAAGUUUGGUGUGAAAUCUUCGGCUCAACUCGAAGUCUGCAUCGAAAACUGCCGGGCUUGAGUAUGGGAGAGGUGAGUGGAAUUUCCGGUGUAGCGGUGAAAUGCGUAGAUAUCGGAAGGAACACCUGUGGCGAAAGCGGCUCACUGGACCAUAACUGACGCUGAGGCGCGAAAGCUAGGGGAGCAAACAGGAUUAGAUACCCGAGUAGUCCCUGUCUCUUAUACA
Molecule: ribosomal RNA, 303 nt
Filed under: uncultured bacterium
Lineage: Bacteria
Description: partial 16S ribosomal RNA
Rfam family: Bacterial small subunit ribosomal RNA
Source: RNAcentral